CGACAGACGAGGAGCUUGCUCCUCUGACGUUAGCGGCGGACGGGUGAGUAACACGUGGAUAACCUACCUAUAAGACUGGGAUAACUUCGGGAAACCGGAGCUAAUACCUGAUAAUAUAUUGAACCGCAUGGUUCAAUAGUGAAAGACGGUUUUGCUGUCACUUAUAGAUGGAUCCGCGCCGCAUUAGCUAGUUGGUAAGGUAACGGCUUACCAAGGCAACGAUGCGUAGCCGACCUGAGAGGGUGAUCGGCCACACUGGAACUGAGACACGGUCCAGACUCCUACGGGAGGCAGCAGUAGGGAAUCUUCCGCAAUGGGCGAAAGCCUGACGGAGCAACGCCGCGUGAGUGAUGAAGGUCUUCGGAUCGUAAAACUCUGUUAUUAGGGAAGAACAAAUGUGUAAGUAACUAUGCACGUAGCGGCUUAGUCGACAGACGAGGAAACACGUGGAUAA
This 454-nucleotide ribosomal RNA is filed under the name Staphylococcus epidermidis. Its description in RNAcentral is "bacterial SSU rRNA". It matches the Rfam family "Bacterial small subunit ribosomal RNA", at positions 67 to 510 of the family's 1533-position model. Lineage: Bacteria; Bacillati; Bacillota; Bacilli; Caryophanales; Staphylococcaceae. The record is from RNAcentral.